RNAcentral lists this ribosomal RNA (398 nucleotides) under uncultured bacterium. RNAcentral's name for it is "partial 16S ribosomal RNA". It matches the Rfam family "Bacterial small subunit ribosomal RNA", at positions 355 to 769 of the family's 1533-position model. The record is from RNAcentral.
UGGGGAAUCUUGCACAAUGGGGGAAACCCUGAUGCAGCGACGCCGCGUGAGCGAUGAAGCCCUUCGGGGUGUAAAGCUCUUUCAGUAGGGACGAUUAUGACGGUACCUGCAGAAGAAGCUGCGGCUAACUACGUGCCAGCAGCCGCGGUAAUACGUAGGCAGCAAGCGUUGUUCGGAGUUACUGGGCGUAAAGAGAGCGUAGGCGGUUCGCUAAGUUUGGUGUGAAAUCUCCUGGCUUAACUGGGAGGGUGCGCCGAAAAACUGGCGGGCUCGAGUGUGGGAGAGGAAAGCGGAAUUCCUGGUGUAGCGGUGAAAUGCGUAGAUAUCAGGAGGAACACCUGUGGUGAAGACGGCUUUCUGGACCAUUACUGACGCUGAGGCUCGAAAGCGUGGGGAGC